CUGUAAUAACCUCUAGUAUUGUAGUUGUUUCUUGAGUCCUGCUGGUACUGGUUUGGGUUGUAGUUACUGUUCUCCCCCUUCAGGUCAUAGUAGUACUUCCCUUUUUCCAAGUACCUUGUGUCACUCAUGCCUUGCUUCUCAUCAUUGCUGUAGCUAUUGGCACCAUUGUAGUAGUAGUUGUUGUUCUGGUUCCCCAUGUUGGUGUAUCCACUUUCUUGAAGGCUUUUUUCACCGAAGUUUUGUUGCUGCUCCUGAUCAUAAGCAUUGUUGCUGUAGUAGUUGGUGUUUGUGUUGGUGGUUGUGUCAGUUGGAUAAUUGGUGUAGGUUUCUUGGUUUUGGGUUUGGGUCUUGUAUGGCUGGGAAUUAGUGGUAGUAGUGUAGGGUGCAUUAGCUAGUUUAGUGGUGGUGGGGAACUGGGUGGUUUCUUGACCAUAUAGACCAUAACCAUUUUGGUUGUCUGGGAUGAAGGCUGGAUCUUGUUCUUGCUUGCUCAACCCUUCUUCUUCUUCUUUGCCGGGGAGUGUUUUAUCUUGAGCGUUAUUGUUGCUGAUGGUGGUAGUGGAGGGGGUGGUGGUGGCGCCACUGACUUUGCUAAAGAACUGGCUCUCUCUGGCAUGAAUUUGCACAGAUAAAAUGGCUAGGAGGAAGAGAAAGGAAAUGAGUCUUGGAGAGGGAGCCAUGGCUAAAGAAAGGAUAGCGUUGCUGUGUAUAACUAGUCUAUAGCAAUGUGUGGAGGUGCACACUUUAUAUAGAAAGACCUUUCAAUCACUCCAGUUUUUUCUACUCUUUUAGGUGGAAAUUGGAGGGAAUUGGUGAUGAUGGUGGUCCCUGCUGGAGACCAAACUUUUAACAAAAGAACUCCUUUUUCCUCUUGUUUCUGUGAUUUAUAUCUUGAUAAUCAUACUUAUUUUUCUCUCUGUAAUUAAUUUCGUUAAUAUUUGAAUUUUGUUCCCUCUAAGAUCAGCUAGUUCCAGCAGUGACUCUAAAUAAAUCCCAUAAUUCAAA
RNAcentral lists this long non-coding RNA (1005 nucleotides) under Populus trichocarpa (black cottonwood). RNAcentral describes it as "long non-coding RNA (PTRI_LNC002700)". The record is from RNAcentral. Lineage: Eukaryota; Viridiplantae; Streptophyta; Magnoliopsida; Malpighiales; Salicaceae.